UCAUACUAUGAUCAUAGUAUGAUGGCGGUUGAGCAAGUAUGCCCCCAUCGUCUAGUGGUUCAGGAC
RNAcentral lists this small RNA (66 nucleotides) under Arabidopsis thaliana (thale cress). RNAcentral's name for it is "ATSL142960". The record is from RNAcentral. Lineage: Eukaryota; Viridiplantae; Streptophyta; Magnoliopsida; Brassicales; Brassicaceae.